RNAcentral lists this ribosomal RNA (467 nucleotides) under uncultured bacterium. RNAcentral's name for it is "partial 16S ribosomal RNA". It matches the Rfam family "Bacterial small subunit ribosomal RNA", at positions 28 to 506 of the family's 1533-position model. The record is from RNAcentral.
GACGAACGCUGGCGGCGUGCUUAACACAUGCAAGUCGAACGGAAAGGCCCUGCUUUUGUGGGGUGCUCGAGUGGCGAACGGGUGAGUAACACGUGAGUAACCUGCCCUUGACUUUGGGAUAACUUCAGGAAACUGGGGCUAAUACCGGAUAGGAGCUCCUGCUGCAUGGUGGGGGUUGGAAAGUUUCGGCGGUUGGGGAUGGACUCGCGGCUUAUCAGCUUGUUGGUGGGGUAGUGGCUUACCAAGGCUUUGACGGGUAGCCGGCCUGAGAGGGUGACCGGCCACAUUGGGACUGGGAUACGGCCCAGAUUCCUACGGGAGGCAGCAGUGGGGAAUAUUGAACAAUGGGCGGAAGCCUGAGGCAGAAACGCCGCGUGCGGGAUGACGGCCUUCGGGUUGUAAACCGCUUUCGCCUGUGACGAAGCGUGAGUGACGGUAAUGGGUAAAGAAGCACCGGCUAACUACGU